This is a long non-coding RNA of Micropterus dolomieu (smallmouth bass), 886 nucleotides long. RefSeq lists it as uncharacterized. The record is from RefSeq and is a predicted model, not a curated record. NCBI's taxonomy places the organism in Eukaryota, Metazoa, Chordata, Actinopteri, Centrarchiformes, Centrarchidae. The transcript has 4 exons.
GCCACAUUUUCAAAACUCUAUUCCUUUCCAAAUUGAAUUCCCUCAACCGUUUAGGAGUCCAUCAAAUGACAUAGGGCAGUGUUCAUAAAUUUGGAGUUUGCUCUGUUUUCUUUGCAAUCUGAGUGUUUGAAGUAAUGACUAUAAUCCAGAGAAGCUGUUGUGUUACAAAUGGACAAGGCAAGCAGCAGUACGGCCUGUAGUCAUGGAGAAAGCUCUCUAUCCAUGAUGAUAAACUUUCCCUGACACAGAGAACCAAUACCCAAGGAUACAAGAGGAGGUAUCCACCACUGAUGUCACCCAAGAUUGAUCCUUUCUCCCAGUUGAGUUGACAGUGCCAAUAUUCUGCAGGAGUGCAAGGGUGGAUUGGUGUCCCCCCUCAUGGAUGUUCACCAUUGACUGCUGAAGCAUAGUUUACAGAGUGCUGCAUCGGAAGAAAAGCAUCUGCUCCUGUAAAGACGCCUCUGCAUAAAGCUUCCUCCCUCCCUCACAGAGAUACAGAGCUUUCUCUCGCACGUGUUCCCGGCUCAUGUUGGGUGGUGGAAUGAACGCAGCGGCUGCUAACUCUGGCCCGAUGCCACUCUGCUGCCAGGCUCUUGAUCUUGCUCUUGCUGCCCUGCCCAGACAGGUGGUAGCCUGGGGGUGAAAGAGGGGCUGGGUUCACUGAGCUGUGUAGAAGACCUUUGGUUUGUCCUUUUGUUGACUGUGCAGACCCCUGUGCACAGGAGUGUUAUCAGCUGGCUGUCGAAAACUCCCACCUACCUGCCAGAACCCCUGCCACCUCUCCACAACACUUCCCGGUGUUAAUUAAAGAGGGAUAUGGCACAGGCGCCACAGCAAAUACCAUCCUCUCUGAGAGGGGUCCUAUUCCCUUUGCUCUGGAUCUAUG